GAUGAACGCUAGCGGCAGGCCUAACACAUGCAAGUCGAGGGGUAGCAGGAUUAAGCUGGCUUAAUUGCUGACGACCGGCGCACGGGUGCGUAACGCGUAUGCAACCUACCUUAUACUGGGGUAUAGCCCGGAGAAAUUCGGAUUAAUCCCCCAUAGUACUAAUGAAUCGCAUGGUUUAUUAGUUAAAGCAUUGCGGUAUACGAUGGGCAUGCGUCCUAUUAGCUAGAUGGUGAGGUAACGGCUCACCAUGGCUACGAUAGGUAGGGGGCCUGAGAGGGUGGUCCCCCACACUGGUACUGAGACACGGACCAGACUCCUACGGGAGGCAGCAGUGAGGAAUAUUGGUCAAUGGGCGCAAGCCUGAACCAGCCAUGCCGCGUGCAGGAAGAAUGCCCUAUGGGUUGUAAACUGCUUUUAUUUGGGAAUAAACCUCUUUACGUGUAGAGAGCUGAAGGUACCAAAUGAAUAAGCACCGGCUAACUCCGUGCCAGCAGCCGCCGUAA
Molecule: ribosomal RNA, 503 nt
Filed under: uncultured bacterium
Lineage: Bacteria
Description: partial 16S ribosomal RNA
Rfam family: Bacterial small subunit ribosomal RNA
Source: RNAcentral